RNAcentral lists this unclassified non-coding RNA (355 nucleotides) under soil metagenome. RNAcentral describes it as "partial contains 5.8S ribosomal RNA, internal transcribed spacer 2, and large subunit ribosomal RNA". The stretch from base 1 to 120 matches the Rfam family "5.8S ribosomal RNA", at positions 35 to 154 of the family's 154-position model. The record is from RNAcentral.
GAUGAAGAACGUAGCGAAAUGCGAUAAGUAAUGUGAAUUGCAGAAUUCAGUGAAUCAUCGAAUCUUUGAACGCACAUUGCGCCCAUUAGUAUUCUAGUGGGCAUGCCUGUUCGAGCGUCAUUAAGUCCACUUAAGCCCUGCUUAGUGUUGGGAGACUGCUCCAGCGGUGCUACCCUGUAGCUACCCUGCAGCUCCUCAAAGACAGCGGCGGAGUUGUGGUAUCCUCUGAGCUUAGUAACUUGUUCUAGCUUUCGAGUACACAACUUCCCCUGCCGUAAAACCCUUAAUUUUUAAUGGUUGACCUCGGAUCAGGUAGGAAUACCCGCUGAACUUAAGCAUAUCAAUAAGCGGAGGA